Thamnophis elegans (Western terrestrial garter snake) is the source of this 332-nucleotide long non-coding RNA. RefSeq lists it as uncharacterized. The record is from RefSeq and is a predicted model, not a curated record. The transcript has 3 exons. Lineage: Eukaryota; Metazoa; Chordata; Lepidosauria; Squamata; Natricidae.
GAAGAAGUAAAAAAUGGGAAGAAUACAUUAGCUAAAAUGGAGGCGGAGAAAAGACAAUUACAGGACAAAUUGACGGAUCUGGAAAAGGAGAAGAGCAACAUGGAAUAGAUAUGACUUACAAGCUUAAAGUCAUGCAGCAAAACUUGGAGCAAGAAGAGGUUGAACAUAAAGCGACAAAAGCCGGGCUAGCAGACAAAAACAAAUAUAUAAAUCGAUUGAAGAAGCUAAGUCUGAAGCUAUGAAAGAAAUGGAAAAGAAACUUUCAGAAGAAAGAAUUACAAAGCAAAAAGUGGAAAACUGUUUACUGGAGGUUGAAAAGCAGUGUUCUAUGU